Non-coding RNA from Penaeus vannamei (Pacific white shrimp), 5318 nucleotides. The record is from RefSeq and is a predicted model, not a curated record. Lineage: Eukaryota; Metazoa; Arthropoda; Malacostraca; Decapoda; Penaeidae.
AUGAGGUCCAUAUGUAUUGAGGAAGCUCUUGCAGACAAUAAGGUUCAGUUUAGAAGUACAACCCACGUGGUCCCCCCCGACGGUGGGUGGGGCUGGGUGGUCGUGGCGGCGUCCUUCAUGUGCAACGUGGUCGUCGACGGUAUCAUCUUCUCCUGCGGGAUGCUGCUGCCGGUCCUGCAGAAGGAGUUCGGCGUCUCCAUGUCCGAGGUGUCGUGGGUCAGCUCGCUUCUAGGCGGGUUCUACCUCAUCGUGGGGUCCCUUCGUAUCAGCCCUGCGCCAACGGCCUACGGUUUUCGUGUCGUCUGCAUCCUGGGUUCCAUCGUCGCCUCCGUGGCCUUCGGGAUCUCCUACUUCGCUACAAGUAUCUACUUCUUGCAGUUCUCCUUCGGUAUUCUCGGAGGCAUCGGGUUCGGCUGCAUCUACGUGCCCCCGUCAUCGCGACCGGGCGGGUUCUACUUCGAGCGGCGCCGGGCACUGGCCACGGGCAUCGCCGUCUGCGGGUCGGGCAUCGGGACCUUCAUCUUCGCGCCUCUCAUGCCAAGCUGAUCUCUAGCUUCGGCUUUCAUCCAUCUUCAAAACAAUACCCGGAGCCUAACAAGAAGAUGUCUGAAGCUAACUUUCCCUUUCUCUGCUCGGCGCCACAGGCAUCAGUCUCUCGUGCGCGGUUUUCGGCCUUGCCUUCAAGCCGCUCAAGGCAGGACCCGCCCCUGUGGAACGACGACCUGGAGCCCCCAGGGAACGAAACUUCGGCUGAUGAGGUGGCGUAUCCUUCAGGGGAAGCGGCGGACUUGGGGAAAUGGGAAGGGGGAGCGUCCUGUAUUUACCAGGGAAGUGCCGCCGUCGCGAAGGCGUUUUUGGAACGGCAUGGCGGCAGUGCGCACAAGAGGUACAGCUUUCCGGGGAUUGUUGUCACCAACCCAGACACCAUCAAGGAGGAGACAGAGACACCACUCAUCGACGCCCGGUAUCCACGCAACAAGAGCGCGCCUGCUUUGGCUCAACCCAAUGCCUUCUCGGCUGAGCAACAUCGUCGCCCAUCAAGGCUUGCCAUGAGAACGGAGACUGCCAGGCCAUUCUACCGUGAUGACAUUUUCUACUCAGGGUCUCUGUUGCGUCUCCCAGAAUAUAAAAGCUCUGAUACAGUAGACAAAUACCACCAGUCUGUGACGCAACUUCCACCCAUGGAAGACAUAGCAGAGGAGGAGGACUCAGAAAGCAGAAUACGCUGCUGCCCAACUGCCCUUACAAAUGUCAUCUUCAGAAUCUUCGACUUCUCCCUCUUGGCUUCUGUUACCUUCGUAGUGCUGGGAAUCGCAGGGUUCCUGUCCCUCAUGGCUCUGUUUGUCCCCUUCAUGUUUCUGCCUGGUUAUGCUGAAUUACAAGGCGCUGAUGACGGUACCAAAGCCACUCUUGUCUCUACCAUUGGCAUCACGAACACCUUGGGCAGAAUUAUCUGUGGCUGGAUUUCAGAUCACCCUAAGGUUGAUGCCUUACACGUCAAUAACUUCUCCCUCAUGAUUGGCGGAGCUGCGACAAUGAUCUUGCCUUUCAUCUCAGAUCAGUCCCUCCUCCUUACCUAUUCAGUGGCCUUUGGUGUUUCAGUUGCUGCAUUCGCCUCUCUGCGUUCCAUCCUUUUGGUAGAGUUACUUGGCCUUGAGAAACUGACAAAUGCUUUUGGCCUUCUGCUGUUGUUCCAAGGCAUCGCAGCUCUUGUGGGCAGUCCUGUGGCAGGUGCAUUCGUCGAUGCCACAAAGUCAUACGAUGUGACCUUCUAUGUGUUUGGUGGAAUAUUUGCACUGUCAGGUCUAAUGUGCAUCCCUCUCCGUCUCAUCAAGCGAUGGGAAGACAACAGAAAGGAAAAGAAACUCCAGGAAGCAAAUGAAGAGAAAGCUUAAAACAAAUGCAAGUGAUGAUGAAUUUCUGGACAGUAUUUAAGAAGAAUAAAGUCUGUGUCUCACUCAGGCAUUUUGUGCAGGCCUUUCCAAUACUUCAGUGCAGAAGAUGCAUGAACACAUAACUAUGAUGAUAGAACAGCAUGUGGGGAUGAGGCACAUUGAUUUGAUGACAGAGAAUUAAAAUUAGAGACAGAUGCUUCUAAUGCUAACUUUCAUUUAAUUACAAUAGAAAUAAUGUUUGUUAACAAAAAAAAUUACUUGAUACAAUAGUUAUAAGCAUCUUUUUAUUUUUAUUAUUAGCAUAAAGAGGGUAGUAGGUCGUAUUUAUUACAUACUUGUCUUAACCUGAAUUCUGUCUAGCUCAUUAUCAAUGCAACUGUAAUUAGACAUAAGUUUUGUUAAUUUCUUAUAUGAAAUACAUACAGAUUUAUUUUUUAAGUUAUUGUGAUAUAAAUCUGAAGAAUAGAAAAAGCUGCUCAUGAAAAGGAGUUUGACUAAAGGUUUAUAAGAAAUCUCUUAGUUCUGCUACAAGUAUCCACUGAUACCUUUUUUUUUUUUUCUUUCUUUCUUUUUUACUUAAUUCUUUAAUUUUAUAAUCAGGAUCUGAGGUUUUUUAAUGACUUAUCUCAGAAUAUAUAUUCUUUUCUUUUACUGCUUGGAAAGAAAAGAAUGUCUUUGCGCUUCAAAAGUGAGUAAGUUAGCGAGGUAUUGACUUAUUUACUAUGCAAGAUGAAUCAGACAUGGCUAUCAAUCAUUUCUUCAAUUUACUUCAUUUUUCCCCUUAUUCAUUCUCUGAGCAGAAAUAUUUUUUACUUUUUUUUUGUCUGUUGGAGUUAACUAGUCUUAAUCCAGAUGGGAAUAGUGAUCUUCUCAAACUAUCUCAGAAUCCUUGUUUUUUUUUAAUUCAAAAAUUCUAGGUAGCUUCUAUUAGGUUUGCUAUGCUUACACAUUAUCUUCGUUCAUGAUAGCUUCCUACAGGAUGCAUAAUCAUGUGUAAUGUGUUGACAGAUAGUUUCAUGGAAACUAUGAAAUGUUACUAACAGUAAGAUCCAACAAGAUCACUUUUUUAUUUAAGGAAAGAGCAAAUCCUUAUUUUCUUUAACACUUAAAAGAACUAGAAAAUGUAAGUAUUCUUAACAAAUAAGGUUACCAUGAUUUUAUAUUACAUAAAUGUAAUAUAGGCCCCUCAACCAGUGAAAUGUUAAAUAUUGUACUAUACCUUUUAGGUUCUGUGACAGACGUAAAGGUAUUUUCUAUUUCAUUUACCUCUUAAUAAACAGCAGAUGCUAACCCUGCCUAGAUGAGAAUUGCAGGCAAUCACAAUGUGUAGCUACAAAGUAGAGUAUCCUGAAUAUUACACACUGGAUCUCUAGGUUGUGUUUUAGAGCUGCUAAUAAUAGAUAUACUAAUGGUUUAUACCUAAGUCAGAUACACUAUGUCAACAGUUGAAUUGCUAGUGUGUCCUAUGGCGAAAGGCAACUUUUGGCUGCCGCGAAAUUAGAAAAAAGGUUAUUAAAGACUAGUUAAGACAUAUAAUAUUAAAAACCAGCUUUGUUGGGUAAAGUUGCACUCUGGGUUAAAUUUAAGUGAAAAAUUGGCAAGAGCUAUAGUCACCACAGACAACCUGUUGGUGCCAGGUACAGGCACUGUAAUUUUGUUUUAUUAUUAUUGUUAGCACAUAGACUGCUUCAUGAGUCACCAAGGAGUCAAUUACUAGGCCUACCUGAUUUUACCUGUUUACCCACUCCCUGAUUUUUGGGGAAACACAAUUUCAGUUUCUAUUACCAUUGUUAUCCUUUUUAACAUUUCUAUUCUUGUUAACAUUACUUUGAACAACGUUAAUGAUAAAAAUGAAGAUUUUUUCUUGAAAAUAAAAUGAAGGAAAGGGGUAAAAAAAUGAGGUUAGGUAGGCCUAAUAAUUGAGUAGGUGUUUCCUCAGCCAUUUAUGUGUGAACAACGAUAAGAAAAGAAAACCACAGUGGAUAAAACAUCCAUACUCCUGACUUCAACAGGGGAAAAUGAGAACAAAAUCAAAUUCUGCAACUGAGUUUAAACAAUACUAAACCCUGGUACACCUUCCAAAGUUGCACAGUUUUAGACUUUCUCUGAGUGCAAGCACAGAGGCCUAGCUUCCAGGCACUGGUGGUUGCUGCUCACGUCCACUGUAUAAGCAAGCAUGUUAUGUAAAAGGAUGCAUAAACACUGAACACCAUGUCCUGGAUGUUUUAGGUAGACACUGAGGUGGUCCAGUUCAUCGUGUUCUGCAAGUGUGUAGAUGAGUACUUUUGAAGAAUGACAGAUCCAUAAAUGCAUUUUGUAUAGAAUAUAUUAUAUUUAAGAUACAUUAGUUUUUAUUAUUUUGUAUCUGAUGGAGUGAAGACAGUUCAAAUUAUGAAUAUCAUAACUCAACUCCAGUUAUCUACCAUUUUUCAUACACUAAUAUACUAGUACCUUUAAAGAACUCUUUUAAGAGAAAUGAUUUCUAACAAUAUCACUUAAAUGACACUGAUAUUCCAGAAGAUACACAAAGUGUUGGUAUUUCUAUUUUCUCUCUGUAUAGGAUAUGUUUCAUGAUAUCGUAAGAAAAAAAAAAUACGGUACCGUGAUAUCUUCUGCCAUGUUUGCUAUAUUUAUAACUAAGUAUUUAUUUGCACUACACUAAGCUAUUGUGGUGUGAUAAAGAAAUAAGUGAGAUUGCAAAGUGAUAGGAGAUCUUUAAUGGCUGGAUGUUAACUUGUUCAUAUUUUAUACAGCAAUAACUUGAAACUUUGUUUGUUUUACAUGGGGACACCUGGUAGAAGAUAUAACUAUAUUGUAAGUAUGUGUGUAAAUAUAAUGUUGUUACCCAUAUCUCUUUGAUGAUAACACCAUAUCUAAUUUCAUGCUGUCAUUAACAGGGUAUUCAGUAAAAUGCAAAGACAAAAUAAAAUUGCAUUAGAAAAGAAAAAGAGAAAAAAAGCUGUAGUGUUAGUCAUAUAUAUUUGUAACAUGUGAGCAUGUGAUAUUCAUAUUGCCCUAUGUUUAGGACUACACCUCUGAUGAUUAGUAUUGCAAUUACUGAGUAAUUAAAGACAGAAUUUUUUCACAAUUACCAGGCUUACAAGGCCUCUGGAAUAUGAUACAUCCAAAUGUUUAGUAUAAUACUUUUAUUGUGUGUAUAUAUAGUCACAAGUCAGCAAGCAGAAGCCUUUAUUCACAUGUAAUAGACAGGCCUUUUUACAUUAGUACACACUAACUAAUAAUGUAUUUAUUCUGACACUAAUUCAUUCAAUAUUUGCAAAGAACUCAGUACAGGCUGAUAAACCUAAUUUUCUUUGCAAACUUAAUAAUCAUGUGUAUGCAUGUAGGAAGGGCUGCCUAACAAACUAUGUAUAUUUCCUGUGAAGGCUUGGUAUGGAUAAGACUCAAUAAAGACUUUUUUCA